This 340-nucleotide ribosomal RNA is filed under the name uncultured bacterium. Its description in RNAcentral is "bacterial SSU rRNA". It matches the Rfam family "Bacterial small subunit ribosomal RNA", at positions 372 to 705 of the family's 1533-position model. The record is from RNAcentral.
UGGACGAAAGUCUGACGGAGCAACGCCGCGUGAGUGAUGAAGGAUUUCGGUCUGUAAAGCUCUGUUGUUUAUGACGAAGUGCAGUGUGUGAACAAUGCAUUGCAAUGACGGUAGUAAACGAGGAAGCCACGGCUAACUACGUGCCAGCAGCCGCGGUAAUACGUAGGUGGCGAGCGUUGUCCGGAAUUAUUGGGCGUAAAGAGCAUGUAGGCGGCUUAAUAAGUCGAGCGUGAAAAUGCGGGGCUCAACCCCGUAUGGCGCUGGAAACUGUUAGGCUUGAGUGCAGGAGAGGAAAGGGGAAUUCCCAGUGUAGCGGUGAAAUGCGUAGAUAUUGGGAGGA